AAAUUAAUGCCAAAAAAAAAAGUAGAUGAGGACGGUUGAAUAUUUGAUUUUGAU
Molecule: small RNA, 54 nt
Filed under: Arabidopsis thaliana (thale cress)
Lineage: Eukaryota; Viridiplantae; Streptophyta; Magnoliopsida; Brassicales; Brassicaceae
Description: ATSL014350
Source: RNAcentral